UACGAAGGGUGCAUGCGUUACUCGGAAUUACUGGGCGUAAAGCGGGCGUAGGCGGUUUGUUAAGUCUGCUGUGAAAGCCCCGGGCUCAACCUGGGAACGGCAGUGGAUACUGGCAAGCUAGAGUGUGUCAGAGGAUGGUGGAAUUCCCGGUGUAGCGGUGAAAUGCGUAGAGACCGGGAGGAACAUCAGUGGCGAAGGCGGCCAUCUGGGACAACACUGACGCUGAGGCACGAAAGCGUGGGGAGCCAACAGG
RNAcentral lists this ribosomal RNA (253 nucleotides) under uncultured bacterium. Its description in RNAcentral is "partial 16S ribosomal RNA". It matches the Rfam family "Bacterial small subunit ribosomal RNA", at positions 524 to 776 of the family's 1533-position model. The record is from RNAcentral.